UACGUAGGGUCCGAGCGUUGUCCGGAAUUAUUGGGCGUAAAGAGCUCGUAGGCGGUUUGUCGCGUCUGCUGUGAAAUCUGGAGGCUCAACCUCCAGCCUGCAGUGGGUACGGGCAGACUAGAGUGCGGUAGGGGGAGAAUGGAAUUCCUGGUGUAGCGGUGGAAUGCGCAGAUAUCAGGAGGAACACCGAUGGCGAAGGCAGGUCUCUGGGCCAUUACUGACACUGAGAAGCGAAAGCAUGGGGAGCGAACAGG
RNAcentral lists this ribosomal RNA (254 nucleotides) under uncultured bacterium. RNAcentral describes it as "partial 16S ribosomal RNA". It matches the Rfam family "Bacterial small subunit ribosomal RNA", at positions 524 to 776 of the family's 1533-position model. The record is from RNAcentral.